UAACAAGGAUUCCCCUAGUAACUGCGAGUGAAGCGGGAAGAGCUCAAAUUUAAAAUCUGGCAGUCUCCUGGCUGUCCGAGUUGUAAUCUGGAGAAGCGUUUUCUGUGUUAGACCGUGUACAAGUCUCCUGGAACGGAGCGUCAUAGAGGGUGAGAAUCCCGUCCAUGACACGGACUACUAAUACUUUGUGAUACGCUCUCGAAGAGUCGAGUUGUUUGGGAAUGCAGCUCAAAAUGGGUGGUAAAUUCCAUCUAAAGCUAAAUACAGGCGAGAGACCGAUAGCGAACAAGUACCGUGAGGGAAAGAUGAAAAGCACUUUGGAAAGAGAGUUAAACAGUACGUGAAAUUGUUGAAAGGGAAACGCUUGAAGUCAGUCGCGUUGUGCAGAACUCAGCCUUGCCUCGGCUUGGUGUACUUUCUGCACAACGGGUCAACAUCAAUUUUGGCCCAUGGAGAAAGGUGGGGGGAAUGUAGCGCUGUUUCGACAGCGUGUUAUAGCCCUCCACUGUAUACAUGGGCUGGGAUUGAGGAACGCAGCACGCCCUUGUGGCCGGGGGUUCGCCCCACGUACCGUGCUUAGGAUGUUGGCAGAAUGGCUUUAAGCGACCCGUCUUGAAACACGGACCAAGGAGUCUAACAUGCUUGCGAGUGUUCGGGUGGAAAACCCUUGUGCGUAAUGAAAGUGAAAGUUGGGAACCUCCGCGAGGGGGUGCACCGACGCCCGGCCCUGACGUUCUCUGACGGUGCUGCGGUAGAGCAAGUAUGCUAGGACCCGAAAGAUGGUGAACUAUGCCU
RNAcentral lists this ribosomal RNA (795 nucleotides) under Fomitiporia chilensis. RNAcentral describes it as "partial large subunit ribosomal RNA". It matches the Rfam family "Eukaryotic large subunit ribosomal RNA", at positions 66 to 838 of the family's 3401-position model. Lineage: Eukaryota; Fungi; Basidiomycota; Agaricomycetes; Hymenochaetales; Hymenochaetaceae. The record is from RNAcentral.